GCCCCCGAACAGGGGGCCCAAAGCCCUGGUGCCAAGACGGCGGCGUCGAGGGGAGCGAGGGCAAAGCCCUCACAAUGAACCCCGCCCUCCAACCAAGGGCACA
This is a non-coding RNA of Palaeococcus pacificus DY20341, 103 nucleotides long. The record is from Rfam. NCBI's taxonomy places the organism in Archaea, Methanobacteriati, Methanobacteriota, Thermococci, Thermococcales, Thermococcaceae.